This is a non-coding RNA of Oryctolagus cuniculus (rabbit), 4113 nucleotides long. NCBI's taxonomy places the organism in Eukaryota, Metazoa, Chordata, Mammalia, Lagomorpha, Leporidae. The record is from RefSeq and is a predicted model, not a curated record.
GCCUUUCCAAUAAGUUUUAAGUAAAAAAUUAAUGCUUUGAAAAUGUAUUGGUCUGUGCUGUGUUUUCCUUCUAACACAGUUCUUCCCUGCUCUAAGAGGAAGGAUGGCCCAGGGCCUUAGGAGACCAGGAGCAGGGGAUGCGUGUGAUGCGGGUCGUCGUUUGUCUUCCCCGUGGGCCCUGUAAACCAUGUCCACGCCAGCACAGCUGGUGCAGUCCCUGCCCGGGGCAGGUGCCGCGUGCGGGAGAGACACGGGUCCUGCACAGAGGGGCACGUGUGUCUGACUGACCCCUCCGAGUCUUCUUCUUCGUGGGUUUGUUCAGCACCAGCGGAUCACAUGAAGACGGGAAGCCUUUGCUUGGAAACAAGGAAAAACCCAACCCAGAAGAGGCGCUGGCAGCCUCAGACGAGGCCGAAACCCAGGCGCUUCCCAUCCUCCCACCGCUCUCCCCGUCCGUGCCCUUUCCUUUUAAGCCAUCAAGGCUCAGAAUCGGACGCUGCAGUUUAAGUACACUUCUUUCCUCUGUUGAGGCUCACGUCUAUUUAGUUUGUUUACUCAGAAGGCAGAGAGAGAGCCGGGCACACAUGGAUCUCCCAUCCUCCGUUCGUCCCCAGAUGCCUGCAGCGCCAGGGCUGCGUGCUGGGAGCUCGCCCAGGACUUCCCUCUCAGUGCAGCGGCCUCGACCGUGCGGGAGCUGUGCUCACCUUGUUGUGUCGGGAGAGACGGUGAGAUGCGGCAGUGGUCGGUGGGACUUUUUGAAGAGACGGCAUGAGCCCAGAUGCACACACGUGACGGCAGUGAGCGCAGGUGCCUGGCUGUGGCCGCUGCCGGAACGGGCGGCUGCAGUCUGCACACUGGUGUUCCGGGUUGUCCAGGUGAGCCCGCAGUGGCUUCACUGGGUUAGUCCAGGUGUCCUCCGGGCCGCGUCCACUUUCUUGCCUUUUCCAGCUCUAGAGGCGCGUGGCCACCCCCCCAGAGCAGCACAGCAUGGCCGCAGCUUCUGCAGUGGGGGUCCCCCUGGCUCCGGCCUCGCGGCCUCCCACUGAGAUUCUCGAGAUUAUGUAGGGCACGCCCAGGCAGGGCAGGGUUCAGGGUCCUGACUUGGCGAUGUCCUGCAGAGUCCCCUUUGCCGUGGAAGGGACGCGUUGCACAGGCUCCAGGGGCUGGGACGUAGACCUGCUAGAGGUGAGUGUCAUCUAGUCCAGCACAAGGAGACUGGAGUUCACGUCCACUCUGCCACGCAGAGUGUGUGCGUUUAGGUGCCACCUCUAGCCCGAGAUCUGUCUUCUGCCACAUGGGUGCAGCGUGGGCCCCAGCCCCAGCACACUUACCCGGGCCCUGUGUUUGAGUUCUGGUGGGUGGUUCUCCGUCAUGUACCACGGUGGAAUGCACGCGUGACGGUGGCCCCGCUGGAGGCUGUUGCUGGCGACAUCGUGGCUGGCUGAGUGAUGCCGCACGACCUGUCGCUGUGGGGAGCAGUGCGCGGCUGGGGAGGCCUGGCAGGCUCUCCCGCGCUUCAGCGAAUUCCAGUUCUGACCGGAGAGAAAUAUCUCUGUGUCUUUUCCUUUGUGGUAGCGGAUCUGAGAAAGCACUGGAGUGAGGAAUUCAAAACCAGAAUUCAGUUCUGUUGAUGGGGACUUUUUCCUCCUCUUUCUUUUCUUUUCUUUUCUUUUUUUUUUUUUUUUAAGAUUUAUUUAUUUAUUUGAAAGUCAGAGUUAACACACAGAGAAAGAGAGAGGUCUUCCAUCCGCUGGUUCACUCCCCACAUGACUGCAAUUGCCAGAGCUAUGCUGAUCCGAAGCCAGGAGCCAGGAGCUUCUUCCAGGUCUCCCACGUGGGUGUAGGGGCCCAAAGACCUGGGCCAUCUUCUGCUUUCCCAGGCCAUAGCAGAGCGCUGGAUCGGAAGUGGAGCAGCCAGGUCUCGAACUGGCACCCAUAUGGGAUGUUGGUGCUUCAGGCCAGGGCGUUGACCCACUGCGACACAGUGCUGGCCCCUUUUUCCUCCUUUUUCAAAAAUGAAAUCCCAGGGCCUGUGUUGAGGUGCAGCAGGUUAAGCCGCCACGUACAACACCGGCCUCCCACACGGGCACCACGGGUUCCAUUCCCGGCUGCUCCACUUCCAGUCCAGGGCCCGGCUAAUGUUGUCUGGGGAAGCAGCAGAAGAUGGCUCAGGUCCUUGGGCCCCUGGAACGCAUGUGGGAGAUCCCAGUGGAGUUCCAGGCUCCUGGCGUCGGCCUGGCCUGGCCCUGACCAUUGCAGCCAUUGGAGAGAGAACCAGCAGAUAGAAGAUCGAUCUCUCUCUCUCUCUCUCUCUCUCUCUCAUUCUGCCUUUCAGAUAAAUAAAUAAACCUCUGUAAAAGUGAAUUUCUUAGUGUUUUCAGAUGUGUGUGUUCAUCUGGUUCGAGGCCAUUUUAGGGAGGUGCUAAUUCCACGUGACGAGUAUGUGCUGAGCCACUAGGCGCUCGGGAGACGGCGCGCACGCGAGAGGCUGUCAGAGGCCUGCUCCCGGCCCUCUCAAAGUCCGUCUCCUGUAGAAGUGUUGGGGGACGGCCUGGGAGAAACGUGUGGCCCAGGGGCUGAAGGCUGAAGAGGCGCGAGCCGCCAGCCACGCGCUUGGGCUGGGGCCGGACAGGGCACGGUGUUGCUGGCGGAAGAAACGGCAGCGUUUGAAGGCCCGGAGGACGGUGGUGGAAGUUCAGUGUGGCUGGAGCUCAGGACGUGAAGAAGGCCAGGGAGGGCCGAGGUAGCGUCGGGAGCAGCGCAGGAGAGCCGGGCCCACGGGAGGAGAUCCGGGCACAGUUCCGCCCGACUCAGGACUGCGCGGACUCUGGUCAGCUGUGUCCCUGCUUCCCCGUCCUGAGAGCCCCUCCCAAAGCAGCUGCAGGAAGGCAGUGUGCAGACGCGCUCCCAGCUCCAGGAGAGCCCUGCCGUGGUCGGGGCCACGGUCGGCUCAGAUGGGAGCCCCUGAGACUGCAGGGUAGGGGACAGUCCUGUCGCUCUUAGCUGCGGGGACUUUCGUGAUCUGUGGCCCUGCAGAUUUUCUGCAUACUUGGAGCAAAAUUCAACGGAAAUAGAAUCCGUGGCCGUUUGCACCGUGUCCUGCCCGUGGUGGCCGUGGGCUCUGUGUGGACGGUCGCCCCAUUGCUAAGGAUCUGCGUCUGUGACUUAGUGUGUGCCGGGGGAGGGUGGAGGAGGCACCGGGUGAGCAGGCAAGCACUCCGCCCUCCCCCAGAAGCCUCCUCUUCCCACGGCCCGCACACGUCACCCCGCACGCUGCUGGGACUAAGAGGCAGGCGGGUUCAGGCUGGAGACCCGUGAGCCCCCUGCGUUCCUUAGGUUUGACAGCCUCUGUCUCCCUCCAGGCUGGAGACCCGUGAGCCCCCGCGUUCCUUAGGUUUGACAGCCUCUGUCUCCCUCCAGGCUGGAGACCCGUGAGCCCCCUGCGUUCCUUAGGUCUGACAGCCUCUGUCUCCCUCCAGGCUGGAGACCCGUGAGCCCCCGCGUUCCUUAGGUUUGACAGCCUCUGUCUCCCUCCAGGCUGGAGACCCGUGAGCCCCCCGCGUCCCUUAGGUCUGACAGCCUCUGUCUCCCUCCAGGCUGGAGACCCGUGAGCCCCCCGCGUCCCUUAGGUCUGACAGCCUGUGUCUCCCUCCAGGCUGGAGACCCGUGAGCCCCCGUGUUCCUUAGGUCUGACAGCCUCUGUCUCCCUCCAGGCUGGAGAGCCGUGAGCCCCCGCGUUCCUUAGGUCUGACAGCCUCUGUCUCCCUCCAGGCUGGAGACCCGUGAGCCCCCGCGUUCCUUAGGUUUGACAGCCUCUGUCUCCCUCCAGGCUGGAGAGCCGUGAGCCCCCGUGUUCCUUAGGUCUGACAGCCUCUGUCUCCCUCCAGGCUGGAGAGCCGUGAGCCCCCCGCGUUCCUUAGGUUUGACAGCCUCUGUCUCCCUCCAGGCUGGAGAGCCGUGAGCCCCCCGCGUCCCUUAGGUCUGACAGCCUGUGUCUCCCUCCAGGCUGGAGACCCGUGAGCCCCCGUGUUCCUUAGGUCUGACAGCCUCUGUCUCCCUCCAGGCUGGAGAGCCGUGAGCCCCCGCGUUCCUUAGGUCUGACAGCCUCUGUCU